This 685-nucleotide ribosomal RNA is filed under the name Memecylon subcordatum. RNAcentral's name for it is "eukaryotic LSU rRNA". The stretch from base 236 to 391 matches the Rfam family "5.8S ribosomal RNA". Lineage: Eukaryota; Viridiplantae; Streptophyta; Magnoliopsida; Myrtales; Melastomataceae. The record is from RNAcentral.
AGUAAUCAAAUGGAUGACUCGUGGAUUUGUUUAUAAUGUCUUGGUCAUGCGAGCUCGUGUGACCUGAUGUCGGGCGGUCAUGAUUGUAUGGUCGAUCGUAGCCGUCUUGACGAACAAACCAAAGUUCGGCACGGAUUGUGCCAAGGUGCUUUGUUAGGAUUGGUGCGUCUGCUCUUGCUUGCCUUCGCACGCGGCAACAGGCUUGCGUGCACGUGAUUGCCACCACAUUAAGAACAACUCUCGGCAACGGAUAUCUCACCUCUUGCAUCGAUGAACAACGUACCAAAGUGCUUGACUUGGUGUGAAUUGCAUAAUCCCGUGAACCAUCGAGUCUUUGAACGCAAGUUGCUCCCAAAGCCAUUCGGUUGAGGGAACGCCUGCUUGGGUGUCGUGAAUCAAUCCCCCCUUCCUUCCCCUUGUGAGGACCCAUGGGGGGGACCGGGGGCGUUUUGUGGCCUCCCGGGGAAUCAAUAUGGACAACACCAAGGUGCGGUUGGCCUAAUAUCAACCACGGUGGUAGCUCGCACCUCGACUUAUGGUGGAUCGUCUCACACAAACAUGAGAUUUAUUCGUGUCUUGUGUUGGGCUGCUCGCGCGCGUUGAACUCAUAUGAACUUACGAUGCAAUCCAUCGUCAGGCGGGGCCUACCAGCUGACUUCAUCCAGUCAUAAACCGAAAGGAAGAA